AACGAACGCUGGCGGCAUGCCUAACACAUGCAAGUCGAACGAGACCUUCGGGUCUAGUGGCGCACGGGUGCGUAACGCGUGGGAACCUGCCCUUAGGUUCGGAAUAACUCCCCGAAAGGGGUGCUAAUACCGGAUAAUGUCUUCGGACCAAAGAUUUAUCGCCUUUGGAUGGGCCCGCGUUGGAUUAGCUAGUUGGUAGGGUAAAAGCCUACCAAGGCGACGAUCCAUAGCUGGUCUGAGAGGAUGAUCAGCCACACUGGGACUGAGACACGGCCCAGACCCUCAGGGGAGGCAGGAGGGGGGAAAAUGGGAAAAGGGGCGAAAGCCGGACCCAGCAAGGCCGGGGGAGUGAUGAAGGCUUUAGGGUUGUAAAGCUCUUUUACCCGGGAUGAUAAGGACAGUACCGGGAGAAAAAGCCCCGGCAAACCCCGU
Molecule: ribosomal RNA, 432 nt
Filed under: uncultured bacterium
Lineage: Bacteria
Description: partial 16S ribosomal RNA
Rfam family: Bacterial small subunit ribosomal RNA
Source: RNAcentral